UUAUCAUCAUCCAGCUUAGCGAUAAGAAACGUGGUGAAAAUUUAACAGCGUGGAAUAAUCGUGGGCCAUCGGUUUAGCUGUGUGCCCUCGAGAUGCGGUGAUGGCUUUGCUGUACAGAUUCGCGCAGCUGCCUGACAGCAGUGGCACGCGGGUCUUCUCGUUCGUCGUCACAAGAAGCGUGGUACGGGACCCCGAAAGAGACGUGACAAGCAAGGAGCUCGUAUGCGGCUUUCAAAGAUGGUCCGUUGCGUUUUCACGAGGGAACAAGGUUCUAGGCGCGUACCUGGUGUGGCGCGGUGCGUCGAGGAACCUGCGCGUCUACGUGGACUUCACGUUCACCCUUCUGAACCGGGAACACUUCUCCAUGAACGAGGGAUUCUCCGGGAAACGGGUCAAGUUCACGUACGAGGCGCCCGCCCAGGGCAACCGGAACUACAUCCCGGUCUCGGACCUGUACAGCCGAAACUUCGCCGACACGAACGGCGAGUUCCAAUUGGAAUUGUCGAUGGCCAACGUGAGGACCGUGUACAUGACCGACCUUAAGAUGCCGGGCGGCACAUUCUCGUCGGGCCAAUCGAAGCCGAACAAAUUGGAGACCGAUUAUUUCGCGUUCGGCGGCUUCGAUUGGAACCUGGUCAUAUAUCCCCACGGGAACAAGGAGUUGGAGGGUUACACGAGGGGCCACGAGAACGGGAUCAGCGUUUACCUGAUGAGGAUGAGCGGGUUCGAUCAUCGGUGCAGGGUUAGAUACAGCGUGGCGUUGGGCGAGGGCGAUCGCAGGAUCGAUUCGGGCCAGAUCGAGGACCUGUCCGACGCGGAGCGUUGCGGGUUCGGGUGGCACACCAGGGUGAGGUGGUCCGAGGUGGCCCACAAAGGCGUGGUCAGGGUUUCCCUCGAGAUGGUCGAGGCGAGGACAAUUUGCGAGGUCGCGGUGCAAGCUCGCGGCCCCUCCGUCCUCCCCGCGACCCCCUGCUACGAUCGUGACAAGCAGGCGUGGAUGAUCAGGGCCGACUUGCACUCGGACACCGUCAGGCUGCACCUCGUCUACAAAGAUAUCCACAACGUUCCGAGGAAUCAUUUGAGGUACGUCAGUUGGUCAGCCUAUCUUCUUCGCGACGAGGAGGCGAACAUGACCGCGAUCAGUUUACCAGGGGCCCCGUUCAGCCGUUACUACGCCCAAGAGUCCGCGGACGAAGGUAUCAUAAUGGAGACGAAUCUGGACACGAACGAGGUGAAAGAAAAUCACUGUCCGUUCCUGACCGACAAAGGACAAUUGAGGAUCCGGCUCGAGUGGAACGAGAGCCAUUUGCUCUUCCAAGCGACCUAUCACAAGUACGACGACGUGUGCCGCAUCCACAAUCAACAAAUGAGACGGGAGAUCUCCCUCCUCCAGGCGGAGAAUUACAGCCUGGAGAGGCAAUUGUUCAGCUAUCAGAAGAGCCUCGCCUAUACGCAGGCGCAGCAACAGCAACAGCAGCAACAACAUCAGAAUCAACAGCACCACGGAGGCCAUCAAGCCCAUCUGGAGAGAUCCGCGUCGACAGACACCGAAUACGCCUGACAAGUGGAACAACAACAACAACAACAGAUCCAAUCAAACGAGCUGCCAACCGCGACCACAUGCCGGCGACAAUUGCCAAUCGUGCACGAGGAUGAUCGUCGUGUCCACCAGAACCUUGUCCGGAUGAUGGAUCGACGAUUGAGUAACGUGCAGCUCCAACAACGGCUGUACGAAUCGGAAUCGGGCUAUCAGCAACGAUACGGCGACGGUUCACCGUGUCAGAGUAUCGUCGAUCAAACGGUGGAUCAUCAACAACAACGUCCGAGUAUCGUGCAGCAACCGAAGUCGGCGCGAUCCAGCGUAGGCAGAUCGGACAGCGGCUCGGAUCGUGGAAACGAUCGUUACACCGGCUACUAUUUGGGGGCUGCCAAGAUGGCCACCAGGCGGGGAGAGCCACUUUGAAGAAGCUUAAGCGCGUUCUCGCGGACCAGUGGACUGGUACGUUUUACACGACACGUUUCGGGAUCACGAUAUAUCGGGAUACAAAUUGGCGAUCGUUCGUUUGGCGACGUGCUGUGAACACGUGUUCGAGGAACACGUUCGAGACGCAGGCACGGGGGAAAUAAAUUGCUGCUGAGAGGGGGAAACGAAGAGUAUAUGAUUUGGACGGUGGCCGAGAGAGGUCGCUAGUUUCGCAUAUUCCUCGUGUUUACCGCUGUAAUAGGAGACCCGUUUGUUUCGAGGAAAGGAUGAAUAAGGUGUUAAUCUUAUUUAGAGGAAAUAAAUAAAGAAGGAAUUUAUAUGUAUAGAGAAUCGUUGGAUUGCACGAGUCGUCUCUUUCAAAAAGUUGUGAAGGAGAGGAUAAUGGAAAGAAUUUCUUUUUUUCCUGGUGGCCGCUAUACAAGCUCGUGACCAGAUUUAACGAUCAACUCGACAAUAUAUGACAGAUGGAUGAGGCGACGAGAGAAAGAUGAUGCGGUGCAAGUUGCGGGCUCGGAAGGUAAUACUCGCACCGGAUUGGACCGACCGGAUUGACCAUUUUUCGUCCAUUUUUUUUUUUCCUCAAACGGAGUCCAAUUUGAAAGAGAAAAGAGCAAAAACGAAGAGGGUGAAUGUUCGAUUCGAAGUUCUCGACGACAAAGCAGCUCUGACGAAGAAAAAUUCGGCCGAAUGGAACCAACUUAUUGGAGCUGUCUUGUGGAGAAUCGUGAGAAGGAACCAGAAAGGAUUUCGCGUUAACACGAUUCGAACGCUGGAAAAAUUUCACAUACGUAUACAUAACACGCAUACACUCUUGAUAGAAAUCGAUCAAGAGAGGGAAUCGAAAGAGGAAUUAAAAAAAAAAAAAAAAAAAAAGAACGAAAUCCCCCUCGAUCACGAAUUCUAUUAUACACGUACAAGAAUACGAUUCUAUCUACUACUUUGUCAAUUUAUUAAGAGAAAACAAAAAACAAAAAAAAUACCUAUUUUCCUCUAAAGACUUUUUUCACCUAUCGUCUAUGACUUCUUUGAUAAUAAAGAAUCCGUGCGCGGUGUAGUCGCCGAGUCGUAACAACAUACUUAUUACGGUAGAAUACUUACACCUAAAACGAAUGCAAAUAAAAAAAAAAUUAAUAAUAAUAUUAAUAAUAAUACUUUAGAGUGCAGUCGAUGUUACAUAAACCGAAAGUAGGAAUGAACGAAAGAUGCUCUCGUUACAGAGCAAUCAACGUGGUACAUCAUAAACAUAUGCAUUCAUAAAUAUACAGAUAUACACACACAUACACACGGGCAUUAAUGUUCGUACUCGACUUUUUUUUAAAUAAAAAAGGCCAAAAGAGAUCAGGGUAAAAAAGAACAAUGCGAACGAUCCAAAUUUUUGACUUAUUGAACUAAUUUAUCAUUGUACGAAAAAUUUAUUAAUUUUUUCCGUUAAUUACUCAUUCUAAUAUACAUAUAUGUUGAAUGUUUAUAUUAUACGUCGAUCAAUUCGAUCAUUCCGAAUCAUGUUUAUACAUCAUUAUUUCUUUUUCUAAAAAUUAAAUACUUAUUAAUCGCCGUUUUAUCGAUAAAUUUACUAUCUAAAAAUUAUUAAUACGCGUUUUAGAUAACGAUAAAUUGUGUAAUUUGUACCAGGGAGAAGUUAAUGAAGAAAUUCGUUCAGAGUGAUAGAAUCACGAACAUCGUGCCGCGUGUGGCACUUAUAGAUCGAAGAAAUAUCCAGUUUAUUGCUCGUCGAAAAUACACACUUGUUUCUCCAACCAUUUUGGCCACGUUCUACUGUACCUGUACCAAUAUAGCGUCAUACGUGCGAGGUCUUCGACGAUAUUGCACUUUUCAAUUUUUGCAUCCCGCGCUUAUCGUCUAUUUUUCCUACGCCUUUCAUAUCAUCCGCCAUUUUCCAUCAAUCUUUCUUUUGCCUUUUUUGCAACAAUUUUCAAAUGGGACGACAGUCGAGAAUCUUUUUAAAUUUAAAAAUUUCCUUAUCCAAUUUAUCCUUUUUCAAUUUCUUCAGAUUUUUUUAUCUUUAAAAUUGACUCCUUCUUGUUAUCUUCGUGUUAUCCUCAUUCUCAAAGAAUCUAAGCUAACUCUCCACCGUUUCGUGGAACUGCUGAAACGGGGUAUGUCCCAACUUUUCAAUACUUCUUUAGGCAAAAACAGAUACUGGACAAAGCUGGUCAUACAAACUCAUAAAUAUCUCUUCGUGCAAACUUUCCUUUCUUGUAUUCUCUCUUCCCCACCAUUUAAAGUAGUUCACACAAAUCGGUACUUUUCAUCUUCCACUCCGGUUCAAAGUAUGUAUCUGUGUGUAGAGUACAAGAAAAGAUGCACAAUUCAACCAACCGGUAUCUACAUCCUGGCAGCGUAUCUACUUUCAUAUUGAUUUUCUUCGAGACGGUGAGAAUUCUACAACCGAUUCGUGAAACUGUUUCUCCUUAUCUUUUCCAUCUUGAUGCCGAUAUGAUGUCCCAUUUGAAAGCUUCGUAUCCUGUUCUUUCCUCGUGUAAUUAUAGUUUCAAAUAACCGAUAUCUAUAUACUGAAACACAUGUGUUUACGUUACGUCUUGCAUCAGCAUGCAUCGCGUCAGUAGCAAGACGAUCGAUACACCAGUUAGUUCACACAUUAGAUAUUACAGUCCACCAUGAACCGUCGUGUACCGCGCACGUGUGCCCGUGGUUGAAUCGGGUUUACUUGUACACACGAAACUCGUCCCAAUACCUGAUUAAAAGCACCGAUGAGAAACCUGAUAUCGUUCCUCCAAAGCUUGCAACUUUCCUUUCAUGCUCACGACUUCGAUUUUUCAUGUCGUUAACAUCUCUUAUUUCGUUCUAUCCUCGACUCUGCUCUUGAUAAAGAUAGACUCUGGAAAAUAUAAGUUAUUUCUAUGAGAUAAUUUUUAAAAGAAAAAUUUUAAAAUUACAGAUCAAAGAUUAUUCUUUUAUUCCCACUACGAUAGAGUCGUUCGAGACAAUUUUAGCGUAAGCAAUGGCAAGAUCCGCGAAAUUCGAACCGGUGCUUUUAACCGGAAGCACCAAUUCAUUCGAGAGAGAAAAAAAAACGAUACAUCGCAGUUCGAAAGUUGUGUCCCUCCUCUGAAGUAGCGGAGAUCUGUAUACUUUGUACAUAUUAUAACUGUACUAAACUGUUGAUGAUUUAAGAGAAUGAAAAUUGAAUAAGAAAAAGAGUUGUGCCUAUAGUAUGCGCGAAGCGGAGAAGGAUUUCAAGCGAAUCGCACGAUCGAGCAUCAUCGUUUCGUUCCAACGUUCAAAA
RNAcentral lists this unclassified non-coding RNA (5252 nucleotides) under Apis florea (little honeybee). RNAcentral describes it as "uncharacterized LOC100872069, transcript variant X1". The record is from RNAcentral. Lineage: Eukaryota; Metazoa; Arthropoda; Insecta; Hymenoptera; Apidae.